Molecule: small RNA, 133 nt
Filed under: pig gut metagenome
Description: Ribosomal protein L10 leader
Rfam family: Ribosomal protein L10 leader
About the family: This family is a putative r-protein leader autoregulatory structure found in B. subtilis and other low-GC Gram-positive bacteria.
Source: RNAcentral
UAUAAUAUCUGCUUGCCGAAGACAGUGGGUGCAUUUAUGCGUAAAAGCUCUACGGAGUUUGCCUACCGAGGAAAAGAACUUAUUAUUAAAAGUUUGUGCCUCUCUGUCUUCAUGUCAGAGAGGUUUUUUAUCU